RNAcentral lists this long non-coding RNA (307 nucleotides) under Mytilus galloprovincialis (Mediterranean mussel). The record is from RNAcentral. Lineage: Eukaryota; Metazoa; Mollusca; Bivalvia; Mytilida; Mytilidae.
GCCGUUAGUUUUCUCGUUUGAAUUGUUUUACAUUUGUCAUUUUGGGUCCUUUUCAUAGCUGACUUUGAGGUAUAGGCUUCGCUCAUUGUUGAAGGUUAACCUACAGUUGUUAAUUUCUGUGUCAUUUAGUCGGUUGUCGAGAGUUGUUUAAUAGGUAAUAAAACCCCAUCUUUCUGUAAUAUUCAAAUCAACAGCCCGAUGCGGGGUCAAUGGGAGGUGGUUAAGGACGGGUGGGAUGAAGGACAUACGUAACAAUGUAAUACAACACCACAAGCCGCUUUCUUAAUGCCAUUUUUGACGAAAAAAA